UACGUAGGGUGCGAGCGUUAAUCGGAAUUACUGGGCGUAAAGCGUGCGCAGGCGGUUCUGCAAGUCAGAUGUGAAAGCCCCGGGCUCAACCUGGGAAUUGCAUUUGAAACUACAGGGCUAGAGUGUGUCAGAGGGGGGUAGAAUUCCACGUGUAGCAGUGAAAUGCGUAGAGAUGUGGAGGAAUACCGAUGGCGAAGGCAGCCCCCUGGGAUAACACUGACGCUCAUGCACGAAAGCGUGGGGAGCAAACAGG
RNAcentral lists this ribosomal RNA (253 nucleotides) under uncultured bacterium. RNAcentral describes it as "partial 16S ribosomal RNA". It matches the Rfam family "Bacterial small subunit ribosomal RNA", at positions 524 to 776 of the family's 1533-position model. The record is from RNAcentral.